CACUUGCCUUUUCCGGCCGUAUUUAAUUAAGAGAUACACUUGCCAUAUUUAGUAACUUAUCAACCCCACCAUCCAAUUAAAUUAUACAUUGCAUAUGACCCACCAUCCUAUUAAACAAAUAAUUUUUGAAACUCAUCCCACCUCCCACUCCCCAAAAUGACAUGGUCCCCACUUAUUUACUUAUUCAAAUAUCUACCCAACCCCACUUGCUUCAUUAUUUUAUUUCAUUCAAUUCUUAUUCUUAAUACCCGUGCCCGACCAAGUGUAUCUCUUAAAUAAAUAUGGAGGGAGUAUUUGUUAUUUAUUAUUUGUUAUUUGUUAUUUAUUAUUUAUUAUUUAUUAUUCAUCGUCUCUAAUUCCAUCAUUCAUCAUUCCACCAUUCACCAUUUCAUCAUCCAUAAUUUAACGCUAAUCAAUUUCAUCAUCCAUCAUGUCAUCAUCAUCAUUUCAUCAUCAUCAUCAUUAUUUCAUCACUCAUAAUUCAUAAUUCAUCAUUCAUCAUUCACUAUUAAAGAUGGAGAUCUUGUCAAGCGCAUCAUCCAUCGUUUAUCAUAUCAUCAUUCAUCGUUCCCUCAUCCAUCAUUGCUACUGUUUUAGGGAACAAGUUGUAAAUAAACCUUAUCUACUAAAGAAGAUGAGAAAAUCAUAGCUGAGAGAAUUAGGGGCUAAAAAAAUUUGAUGUUGGCGGCGUAAUUGUAGACUCGGUACCUAUGGCUUAGCGACUUAAAGUAAUUUACUGCAGGUUUUUCUAGUCACCAGUGAGUAUGAGGUGUCUUCUUUCUGGGAAGUAUAUAUAUUGUAGUUGUUGCUUGAGCUUGUUCUGGUGAUUUGUGAAUAUUCAGGGAGAUGCCAUAGCUUCAAUUUUGUCGUUUCUGCCAGGACUAGGAUGGGGACAUAUAUGCUGAAGCAUGAAGAGUUUCUCUUCCUUUCUUGUCUUUAAAAGUGUGCAUACUGUGUUCGUAAACAUACAUACCUUUCGUUGCCCAUUUUUUAAGUAUCCCAUUGGCACGCUUCAGCUUCAUGGUUUCUUGUUAUGGUUUCAGGGACUAUGGUUCUAGGUUUUAGGCUUCUAGUAUAGUAGUAUAUCUUUGUUUUGAUUAGUGAGUAGAAUAUUUGUAGUUUAUAUUAAUGUGAUGUCCUUUCUUUGGUUGUUUGCCAUUACAAUGAAUUUGUAGGCAUGAAAGUGAAGGGUGGUCUGUUGCUGAUUUGAAAUGUAUCUUUUGUGAGAUAACCUUAGAGUUGGUUACGUUCUUUUUAUCGUCUGUUCCCUUGGUGGCGUUGGAUAAGUUACUUGUUUCUAGUUUUUUGUGAACAUGAAUAUAGAGCUUGCUUACUCGUAGUUCAUUGGAAGUUUUCCUUUUGUCUCAAGUUAACCAUGCAUAUUGCAUAUUCCGUUGUAUGCAUGUGAUUGCAGCUUUGAUAUAGGAUCUGCCAACUUCAGCAAAAUUUAAACAUCUAUUAUGUUCCUUGUUUCUUCUUUGUUGGGAUUUGUACUGCAGAAAUUAUUUCAUAGACAUUUUUUUGUAAAAAAAAGUUUUUAACUCCGCCUGUGAGUGUCACUUUGUGGCAUUUGCUGCCGGUCUCAAGCCCGGGUAAAGGAGGAGAGUUGUAGUAGGUCUGUCGCGACCAGUGUAAAAACUUCCCACUUCCUAUGGACAUAGACCUUGGUUUUGUUAUUGGCAUUGGACUUGUUUGGCUUGAGUGCUGCAGGAAGCACAAGAGUUUCGAAUGAGCUUGGAGCAGGAAGAACGAAUGAAGCGAAGCAUGCAAUGGGAGUUACAUUGAAGCUGUCAGUACUUCUAGCAUGGGUUGUUAUUGUGGGUCUAAGCUUAGGACAUAACAUUUGGGCAGGCUUCUUCAGUGGAAGUAGCACUAUAAUCGAAGCUUAUGCAUCCAUCACUCCUCUAGUUUGCCUUUCAAUAUUCUUUGACUCAAUUCAAGGCAUAUUAUCAGUUCCUACAUUAUCCCAAAUUUAAUUCUUUUCACAGUUUAUGUUUCAUUAUGUCAGUAGUUAAUAAUCAAUUAUGAUGUUGUUUGUGGCCGCGAAACAGGCGUAUGCAGGGGAUGUGGUUGGCAGCAGUUUGCUAUGUACAUAAAUUUGGGAACAUUCUAUCUCAUCGGCAUGCCCAUUGCAUGCUUACUCAGUUACUCGCCUUUCAGUUUCAUUUGGAUGUCAUGGUAAUCCUCAUGCUUACUCGCCUUUCAGUUUCAUUUGGAUGUCAAGGUAAUCCUCUUAAUUACUCCAUGUUUCCACAUUUCAUCCCUUUCAUGUCUAUAUAAAAUUUCAUUUUGUGUUUCUAAUCCUUUUCUUUGUUUGAUUACCUUAUCUUAUUCUGAUGUUGCUACUUCCUACUCUUUUAGAGUACUCACUUAGCGCGCAACCUGUUUUGUGUUCAUGCUUUCAUCUUAGGGUUUGAUGGAUUGGAAUUUUCUUUGUUUCCGGUUGAGGAGUGGAAUGUCUGACGUAAGAAUUUCAUCAUUGCAGUGUACUUCUCUUUCAUCAAUGUGUUGUGCCGUGUGGUAGAUGAUUGAGAGGUUUGCCUUGUUUUAACACUUUUUUCGCGAGGUACUUGUAUGUUUGUGAAUAUCGACUUGCAUUAUGUUUUUGGUAUGUUAGACCAAACACUGACCUAAGGUUUGAUUCUGUUGUUACAGCUUAGCUUGACUUUCUUCUUCAUGUUUCUCUUGAUUUUUCUCUGUGUCUGUUUGUCGUAUGCUGUCACAAGAAAGUUGCCUUAGGUAAUAUUUGUCUUUUUUCCUUAACGAAUUCAUUUCUCUGACUAGGGCUUUUACUUGGUUAUUUUCUCCUACACCUUGGACUUUCUUUCUUUCAUACUAUCGUCUUCAUGGAAAUCAAUUAUUUUUAUUUGCUUGUUCCUCUGUUUAUUUAGCAUUAUUGCAGAUUUGCAGUAAAUGUAUAGCCGUAUAGGGUUAGUUCACAUAACAAAUGAUGAUUUAACCUAAAAUUUGUCCUAUUUCUGAUGGUUUGGACCAGGCUUUAAUUGGUCGCAAAUGAUUUUUUUUGUUAGCUUUGCCAUUGAAAUUGUUAAUUCGAGUAAAUUUAAAGCUUUUUCCAUUAAUUGGACUAGGGUUUUAUUGAAUUUGAGAGUACGUCGUACUUGUAUCAGUGUUGUUUGUUAAUGUGCUAGUGACUUGUUUGAUUUGUUUGUCUAUUGAAGUUGACAUUUCUGGUUCAUGUUGAUAUAGUUGUUUGUCUAUUAAAGAUGUCCUUUUUUUCUUGCAAUCUGCAGUUCUUCUAUAAUAGUUUGAUGCUUAGUAACUUAGCAUUGAGAGAUUAAUUGCAUACAUGAGAUUAUUUAAUGCACCUCCCUUGUUGAUCCUUGUAAACCCCUGCUAUGCUAGAAGGCACAUUAGUGUAUAAAGGAAGCAUCAACGUCGUUGUGGAUCCAAAUAGGCCCGUAUUUGAUUUCUUAUUCAGGGAAGGGGCUGCAUUGUUAGGGGUUGAGAUGUGUGGCAUUCUCAAGAAAAGUUACGCUACAAUUCCCACCGGAAUAGCGAGUCUUAUGGGACAUAGCCAUUCCACAAUAGGUUGUUCGGAUCCUUAGUGGCGGCUUUGUAGGACAAGGAUAACAAGGAGCGCUUUCCACAAAAAAUGGUGAAUAGGAAUUGUGAUGGGGUAUUUGGGUUUGGGUCUGGGACUGGGAGAUGCAUAUUCUGUCCAGGAAAUCAAGGAAGAAGAUAGAGUUGCCGAUGUUGUUCAAGCCUUUCCAGGGAUUAUGUCUUUCUUGCUUGUUCUUGAUGAUUACCCUUGAAUAGCGGAAUACAUCAAGUUGUUGUUGCACCCUGAAAAUAAUGUAAAUUUAAGCUAAUUAAUUUAAUUACUAUGAUUACAAAAGUCGGUAACAAAGUACUUCAUUGACCUUAAUUGUUCAUCCAAUAUUUUAGUAGUAACCUUUUCUUGCGAAAUUACUGCUUAUGUGCACUUUUUUAAGUAGGUAUAUAUUGUU
This is a long non-coding RNA of Spinacia oleracea (spinach), 3968 nucleotides long. RefSeq lists it as uncharacterized. The record is from RefSeq and is a predicted model, not a curated record. NCBI's taxonomy places the organism in Eukaryota, Viridiplantae, Streptophyta, Magnoliopsida, Caryophyllales, Amaranthaceae. The transcript has 3 exons.